GCAGUCGUGAGGCAGUUGAGGGUGAUGCCUGUGGAGCUGCGUUUGGUUUCCUGAGUCAAUGACGGCAGAAAGUCUAGCAGUAGUGGCAACUAGGCACACUGAUUGGUCUGUGCUCUGUGGUAGGAGUGGCAAAGUCUUCACCAAACUUCACGCUCUUACGGCUUCUGUGAGUCAGGAAUUCAGAUGAAACAUAAGAAGUAUAAUUUAUCUCUGCCCCAUGAGGUCUGGCUCAGCUGGAGAACUUGAAGACUGCAAAGUUCUGAAGGCUCAUUCACUCACGUCUGGUUGACGCUGGUUAUCAGCUACGGGUCUAGCUCCUAAAGAGGUGUGUCUUAUGUGCCUACAAACCUAUCUGUCCUUUGCGAGACAGAUACCCUGACUUUGUUUCCUCUGCCAAUGGUGGGACUUCUGAGAUCAUCAGUGACAAGGGAGCUGGGUCUUCUCGCUACAGGAGCAGCUGGGGGAGCCAGAGGAGAACUGGUUUUGCACAAAGACUAGCUUCUGCUUUUUCUAGCUGUGUAAUGAAGCAAGGGGGCCAACAGCUUCUGAGUUGGAAUCCUUGAAUCUAAGCAUCCAGAGAAAGACUGUCUUGACCCGACUCACAACACCUGAGAAAGGCUUUUAUUGCCAUGUUAGGCCAAUUGUCCAUCCCUGGAUCAAUAAAAUGUGAUCAUAUUUGGAA
Molecule: long non-coding RNA, 682 nt
Organism: Gorilla gorilla gorilla (western lowland gorilla)
Lineage: Eukaryota; Metazoa; Chordata; Mammalia; Primates; Hominidae
Exons: 4
Source: RefSeq, a predicted model, not a curated record